CACUUAGAUGUUCUGGGCCGCACGCGCGCUACACUGUUCGACGCAGCGAGUCUUAACCUUGACCGAAAGGUUUGGGUAAUCUUCAGCAAAGUCGAACGUGAUGGGGAUCGAUCAUUGCAAUUAUUGAUCGUGAACGAGGAAUUCCUAGUAAGUGCAAGUCAUCAGCUUGCGCUGAUUACGUCCCUGCCCUUUGUACACACCGCCCGUCGCUACUACCGAUUGAAUGGUUUAGUGAGAUCUCUGGAUUGACGCUGGCUAGGGGGCGACCCUUGGCCAGACUGUUGAGAAACUGCUCAAACUUGAUCAUUUAGAGGAAGUAAAAGUCGUAACA
Molecule: ribosomal RNA, 331 nt
Filed under: uncultured eukaryote
Lineage: Eukaryota
Description: partial 18S ribosomal RNA
Rfam family: Eukaryotic small subunit ribosomal RNA
Source: RNAcentral